This 407-nucleotide ribosomal RNA is filed under the name uncultured bacterium. RNAcentral's name for it is "partial 16S ribosomal RNA". It matches the Rfam family "Bacterial small subunit ribosomal RNA", at positions 30 to 526 of the family's 1533-position model. The record is from RNAcentral.
AUUGAACGCUGGCGGCAGGCCUAACACAUGCAAGUCGAGCGGAGCGGCGGACGGGUGAGUAAUGCCUAGGUAUCUGCCUGGUAGUGGGGGAUAACGACCGGUAACGGGCGCUAAUACCGCAUACUAUCAGAUGAGCCUAGGCCGGAUUGGCGAGUUGGGGGGGGAAAGGCCUACCAAGGCGACGAUCCGUAACUGGUCUGAGCGGAUGAUCAGUCACCCUGGAACUGAGACACGUUCCAGACUCCGACGGGAGGAAGCAGUGGGGAAUAUUGGACAAUGGGCGAAAGCCUGAUCCAGCCAUGCCGCGUGUGUGAAGAAGGUCUUCGGAUUGUAAAGCACUUUAAGUUGGGAGGCGUUACCAACAGAAUAAGCACCGGCUAACUUCGUGCCAGCAGCCGCGGUAAUUC